Paramuricea clavata is the source of this 618-nucleotide non-coding RNA. The record is from the annotation of a GenBank genome assembly. Lineage: Eukaryota; Metazoa; Cnidaria; Anthozoa; Malacalcyonacea; Plexauridae.
AUAAGUUAUGCCUAAAAUUGCUAACUAAAAAACUUCUGAUGUUGCUAGCAUUGAUUUCACCAGAGAGAUCGUCUGUUCUAUCGGACCUUGAUAUCCAGUUCCUGAAGAAACAGCCAGACGGCUUCACAUUUACACUAACUAAACCUCGGAAGACAGGGGACCCAAGAUCUCUCACAACAAUAGCAUUCCCAUGUUUUAAGGAAGACAGCACGCUAUGUCCCUUGAAAUGCUUGGAAUCAUAUUUAAAUGCUACAAGUGAGUUUCGGACUCUACCUGAAUGUAAGAAGUUGUUUCUCUCGACUCUACGUCCGCAUCGCCCUGUCUCCAAAAGUACAAUUGCCAGAUGGUUGUGUGACACAAUAACAGCUUCUGGUAUCGAUUCCACAAUAUUUAAGGCUCAUUCCACAAGAGCAGCCUCAACUUCAACUGCUGCUAAGAAACAGCUACCACUAAAUGACAUUCUUAAAAUGGGUGAUUGGACAUCCUCUUCGACUUUCCAACGGUUUUAUUACAAACCAACGAUUGACGACAGUUAUGCGAAAACAAUUCUAAAAUCCUAAAUUUUUCCAGAUAUAGACAAUUAUUGUUGAGUUUGGGUUUCCUCAUGUAAUUUUUAUG